GAUGAACGCUGGCGGCGUGCUUAACACAUGCAAGUCGAACGGAAAGGCCCAACCUUUGUGGGGUGCUCGAGUGGCGAACGGGUGAGUAACACGUGAGUAAUCUGCCCAUGACUUUGGGAUAAUCUCAGGCAACUGGGUCUAAUACCGGAUAGGACCGCCGUUUGCAUGGUGUUGUGUGGAUAUUUUUUGCGGUUGGGGAUGGACUCGCGGCAUCUCCUUUUUUUGGGGGUGUAGUGGCUCACCAUGGCCUUGAGGGUUCGCUGCCCUGAGUGGGUGACCGGCACAAUGGGGCCUGGGAUACGGCCCAGACGCUUACGGGAGGCAGCAGUGGGGAAAAUGGCACAAUGGGGGAAAGCCGAAUGCGGCAACGCCGCGUGGGGAAUGACGGCCUUCGGGUGGUAAACCGCUUUCGCCGGGGACGAGGCGUAUGUGACGGUAACUGGAGAAGAAGCACCGGCUAACUACGUG
Molecule: ribosomal RNA, 468 nt
Filed under: uncultured bacterium
Lineage: Bacteria
Description: partial 16S ribosomal RNA
Rfam family: Bacterial small subunit ribosomal RNA
Source: RNAcentral